RNAcentral lists this long non-coding RNA (646 nucleotides) under Homo sapiens (human). Its description in RNAcentral is "HSALNT0064613". Lineage: Eukaryota; Metazoa; Chordata; Mammalia; Primates; Hominidae. The record is from RNAcentral.
AAGAAAGGUACUUAGACAUGUUCCCCACAGGAUGUGUUAAGGUGUUGGCCAAUCAUCAAAUAUUGUCACUCCAAAGAACACAUUUAACAGCCGGGAAGAAAAUUGUAGGAAAAGAGAGCACUUUGGCACGGAAGGGAAUGCAAACUUGAUCUUGACUUUAAGGUCAAAGCAUUUUCAGAAUGUGCAGUCAGCAGAGAAUUGAAAAAAAAAAUCAAUGUGAAACAUAUUAGAGAAGAAUAAGGGGAAGAGUGAUGCAGAAGUGCUGGGAAGUCAUGCAGGGAUUGGAAACCACAAAGAUUCUACAGAAAGUAAGAACGUCCUGCACCGAGAUGUUUAUGAUUCCUUUUGCUUUUACUUCCCUUUUCUUACAUAGGGGUAGGUGAAAAUUAUGGUAAUUUGAGGUCUGGACCACUUUCAAAGCAUUUUCAGGGGAUGAAAAUGACUUUUGACCUCUAAAAAUGAGACAUGUUUCUUUUUUUUUUUUUCCUGAAACCCUUUUUUCUUUUCCUGUUUUGUUCAUGGUAGGGGAGAUGACUAUAUUCCAUACCUGUUAUGCACACAAACUUAGAAGGGUUUAUUGCAGCUCCAUGGCUGAAAAUAGCAAUGAAAAUUGUGAGACCUUUUAUGUCAGCAUUGGAAAUAAACU